RNAcentral lists this long non-coding RNA (1176 nucleotides) under Monodelphis domestica (gray short-tailed opossum). Its description in RNAcentral is "lncRNA (ENSMODG00000041505.1)". Lineage: Eukaryota; Metazoa; Chordata; Mammalia; Didelphimorphia; Didelphidae. The record is from RNAcentral.
AGGCUCAGUGCUUUAUCCACUAAGAUACCCAGCUGCUUUAUGCCUAUGUGCCUGGCACAUAGUAGGUAUUUAAAAAAUUGUUGUAGCCUGACUAGUAGGUCACACUUGAGAUGAACCUCAAAAGAAACUAGGGAUUCUUCAGUAAAGGUCAAGGUGAGGAAGAAGUACAUUGUGGGCAAGGGGACAAUCCCUGCAAAAAAAAAAAAAAAAAAAAAAAAAAAUAUAUAUAUAUAUAUAUAUAUAUAUAUAUAUAUAUAUUUGUAAAAAUAAGUCCUUUUCCUUUGAUCUCUUUGGGACACAGAUCUAGUAGUAGUAUUGAUGGAGCAAAAGGUAUUCACUGUUUUAUAGUCCUUUGGGUAUUGUUCCAAAUUUCUAUCCAAAUUUCUAUCUGUUUACAACUCCACCAGUAAUGCAUUAGUGUCCCAAUUCUUCUACAUUUCCUCUAGCAUUUGUCAUUUUCCUUUUCUGUCACAUCAUUCAAUCUGAUAUAUAUUAGGGAGUACCUCCUCAGUCUUCUUUUUUAAAUAUGGUUGACUUCCUAUUUAUUUUUCAUAGAAGACAAACUUCCUUGCCUUAGGAGGACUAUUGAACAGAACAGGAGAAGCAGAGAAGGUCACAGUUGGAAGAGAUUUCAGAUGCUAUUUAGUGAACAAGAAGUCUAUAAUAUAAUUGAAAAAUCCUCAACCAGCUUCUGCAUGAAGAUAUCCUCUGAGAGAACUCACAGUCCAUUCUACUUUUGAGGGGCUUUAAUUCUUGGCAAGUUUUUCUUUAGAUGAACUCAAAUCUACUUUUUUGUUUUUUGUAAUUUAUACUCAUGAUUCCAAUUUGUGUCACAGGGAGACAAUAACUCAUUUCCUAGUGAAUAGCCCUGUAAAUUCUUAAAGAAGGCUAUCAUGACUUCAUAGCUAGCUACCCCUUCCUCUUUCUCAACCUCUUCCCACCAAUUUUUUUUUUCUCUUCUGGCACUAACCAUCUAUAGUUCUUUAAAUUGAUUUUCAUCAUCAUGAAUUUAAGGUAUUUUGCCAUUCUGUUUGCCCUCCUCUGGAUGCUGUUCAAGCUCUUUAGAGUCUCUUCUUUGGGAAAGAAAUUAAUUUGUUUGUAACAUUUAAAAUAUUAAUAUACUCAGAUAACACUCCCAAUUAGAGAAGGCAUUAUUUGACAGAAAGAUAUAUGCAC